GUUACGGAGGACAUCAACCCACACAAAUUCGCAACGGUCAUCAAGUUCGAUAAUCAACCAAAGGUAUCAUCCGGUCACAUCGCAUAAGUCCACAUCACCACCAAAGUCCAACCCCAGGCGGAGCCACGGCAAGUGCACCAAACGACGACGUAGCAAAUCGACCUAGCAACAGACGGACCCCGGACGACGGAAGUAUGCAGAGUAUGCAAACUGGACUAUAAACGUAGGUCAGCAGAGUAGGGCAAGUGUAGGUUUCAUUAUAGCAUUAAUUAGACAAUAAAUUCAUUCUUUGUUCAAUCGUGGAAGUGAUAAGUUUAAUUCUUUUU
Molecule: long non-coding RNA, 326 nt
Organism: Aedes aegypti (yellow fever mosquito)
Lineage: Eukaryota; Metazoa; Arthropoda; Insecta; Diptera; Culicidae
Exons: 2
Source: RefSeq, a predicted model, not a curated record